Molecule: long non-coding RNA, 3044 nt
Filed under: Triticum aestivum (bread wheat)
Lineage: Eukaryota; Viridiplantae; Streptophyta; Magnoliopsida; Poales; Poaceae
Description: long non-coding RNA (TAES_LNC001574)
Source: RNAcentral
AUAAGAUCCCUCCAGCCAGGUGAACACCUUAUUUAACUAUAUGUAUUCACACUCAGAGACUCCUACAAACAUAUAUACAUAUUCACCAAAUGACUAAGAAAUGAUGCUAAAAAGACACACCAGCAAGCACAGAAAUUUCAGUUGCUCAACAAAACCCGACGAAAAGACAGGCCAAACUUCCAAUUUCAGUACUAAUUGAAGUGAUUCUAAAAAGACACGCCAUAACCCAUACCGAGCUUCCAAUUUCAAAACCGCCUCAGAAUCGAUGGAAAAACAUGAUGAAUUUUUUUCAAACUCCUCGAAAAAUAUACUUGUCCUGUAAUUAGUUCUCAUACAACUCAGUACACGUUACACGGUAUGGUUAACCUUGCAGCUUUCGAGGGGAGUGACAAAAAGCCAUGGUACAUCUUCAGCUCCACCCCCAGUCAUGGCAAGCUUGCUGUCAUCUAUGGAGUUGCACAUGGUCUCUUGAAACAUGGUGUGAAUAAAAAUCAGAAGGUGAGAACAGGUAUGAGCUGCAAAUAAUCUAUAAUUAGGUGCCCAUGUGUUCGAGCGGGGCCAUAAAUUUUCAGUGGUUCAACAUCAAUUGUGUCAAACAUAUACCUCAUAAUACUAUCCAAUUUAUUUUUCAAACAUCAUAGCUUUAAGGAGUUGCACACUAAGUAAUAAAAAUUGAAAUAAUAUUUAAUGAAUAAAAAUAUAUAGUUUUGAGAAUGUCCCUCAUUAUACAAGCAUUACUGAAAACCCGGAUCUUAUUAUCGGUUGGAAAUUCUUGUAAUACAGUCUUGACUGAAUGAAGUUAUCAUGGCUCUACUUUUGGUAGAUUACUGAUUCCUUCUACAACAUGGCAUGUGACUAUAUAGCUUGAUGGUUCAACAAAUGAUAUCGAGUAGGCUAAUUAAUGUAGAAACUACAUCAAAUUUGCUCAAGAGAACUGGACCCAAGUACACCAUAUAGGAAAUCAAAGGUAAACUCUAUAUGACCAGCAAUAACCAAUGGAAGAAUUUCCAUCUAAUUCAGCCACACACACCAAUUAGCAAAGACCUCAAAUAAAAGCAUGCUAGAAACCUACUUAUAACACAACUUAGCAAAGACCUCAAAUAAAAGCAUGCUAGAAACCUACUUAUAACACCACUUAGCAAAGACCUCAAAUAAAAGCAUGCUAGAAACCUACUUAAAAGUGUAAUGAAAUGCACAUGUACUGAAACUAUGUACCAAAUUUACAUGCACAUUUAUUCUCUAGACAUAUCAUUCUACUCCCUCUGUUUCUAAAUAUAACUCUUUUUAGAUAUUUCAACACAUGCUACAUAAGGAUGUAUAUAGACAUAUUUUAGAGAGUAGAUUCACUCAUUUUGCUCGGUAUGUAGUCCCUUAUUGGAAUCUCUAAAAAGACUUAUAUUUAGGAACGGAGGGAGUAGUUUCUACAAGAAAAGGGUAAGUUAGCCUAAGAAUAUUGCACCAUGACCAAAUCUUGUCGGAAUCAUUUUUAUUUCAAACUAUCAAGUUACUUUCCUCUUACAUUGAUGAACAAAAAUAUCACACGGAUGGCCCGCGGACACAGCGUAUCCGCACAGGCGACCCGCAUCACACCAAGCCCAACACAACAGGACACACCCUGCAAUGAACAGAGGAAUCUAAUGGAGAAUCAGCGAAUAUGAUACCCCAAGAUCUUACCUGACAUAUCAAAGGCCACCACGGAACCAGCAUCAUCCAAGCGAACAUGAAAGCCAUCAUCCUCAAUGCUCCUUUAUUUUGCAGGACAGGUUUUGACACAUCAUAAGGUGUCUCUGCAAAUAGAACAAGACCAAGAUCAACACAUCACACCACAUGCCUGCAAAAUUCGGAACAAGCAAAUAUAAUUCAAACAGAAAAGAACGAGGGCCAUCUUAUGCUAACUAUUCUGAAACAAGUCAUCAUUUGAAAACAGGUAAACUUCUUAUGGUGCAUCACGUCAUGUUGACUUCAAUCUGACAGUAAAUAGGAACAUAAAUAAAAAAAUCGUGAGGGCACAGGAGAGAUUGGGGGGGUCAUCGCCGACCCUGGCCAGAGCCGGGUAAGGUCCCGCUCUGCAUCCAGUAACGUCCAUGACGUCAUCUAGUAUUACACGAAAGCUAAAGAAAUGCAUAAGAAACAAUACUAAGUUCAGCAAAACGGAGCUAAAACACUAAAUUAGUAGGUCCUGCUUUACACAAAAGCGUAAAAAGGUGAUGCAACAUACAUAUUAAACUUGCAUGCAAAUAUGUGUAAUAAGAAAGAUUAGAUUUGUAACCAUCUAGAGUGGUUUGACAUUUUUUUAAUCACCUCUUUCCUUUUGUUUCUAGUUAGUCCUCAAAUCCAUUUAUACAACUUGUACCCAAAGCAUUUAUACAUCUUGUACUACAUAUUAGAAGGCUAGAUCUUCUACCAGUUCUAUAUGGAAUUUUGCAAGACAUGGAGCUCAGAACAGAUUGCAGCAAGAAUAGGAUAUGCAAUUAGGCAUUUAGAUAGUAGAGUUGUUAUUGAAUCAGCUGUGAUACUCACUACUCAGAACCUAACUAAGAACUACAGUAACUGAUCCUAGCUAGGCUAGCCUUUUCCUAUAAAUAUCUUAUUAUUAAAAACUAAAGCCUUCUCCAAUAAUUGCAGUAACUUGGUCAUCACAGCCACAUUCUUAAAUCAGAUACAUACUUUUAAGGUUGAUUUAACUAUGAUGAUGUAGUGGACACUCCGCACUUAACAACACAAGUUAAGCAUAGGAAAUUAAACAACCCGGUUACUUGACAUGCAGCGAGACAAAAGUAAAUUCACCAGUGAGCGAAGGAGAAACUUUGGACCAUAAAUAAGAAAGAACAAACAUAUACCAUAAUUCCAUGGGUUCAACUCAUCGUCACCUUCCUUCGGAGUUCAGACUCCUCAAGUGUGUCAUUGCUGAGGCAUGGGCAGGUUAGAUAAGACAUCAAAUGGAGGAUAUAUUGUAAAAGAAUGAGAAAAGAGUGCAUACUUUUCCUCUGUACAGAAUCAAUUGCAUAACUGAUGAAAAUACCGACGACAACUCCCUCUCCAUG